Schizosaccharomyces pombe (fission yeast) is the source of this 340-nucleotide non-coding RNA. The record is from the annotation of a GenBank genome assembly. NCBI's taxonomy places the organism in Eukaryota, Fungi, Ascomycota, Schizosaccharomycetes, Schizosaccharomycetales, Schizosaccharomycetaceae.
UUCCUCCUACCGAUAAGUCAUCUUCGGAUUCUGAUUCAAUUCCUUGAAUUUCAUGCAGACUUUCAACAUUCACAUUGAAGCCUUCCUCUGUGAACUGUUCAACAGUUUGUUCGAUCUUAGCUAAGGAAGAAGUGAUAACAGCUAAGUUAUUGCUGGAUGAGAAGAACGGUAAACAAUAAAUUUUUAAACCCUCUAAAAAUUGUUGUAAUGUGACCUGCUUUACUUUUUCUAAAAAUUUAUGAUCUUCAUCUUUGUUUAGACCUUUGAUAGAUAACAAAGUAAACGAGUUUUUUGAUGAGUAAAUUGCGUUGUUUUCAAGCUCCGAUACUAUGCUAUAAGA